RNAcentral lists this transfer RNA (73 nucleotides) under Halobacillus halophilus. RNAcentral describes it as "tRNA-Ala". It matches the Rfam family "tRNA". From Rfam's summary of the family: Transfer RNA (tRNA) molecules are approximately 80 nucleotides in length. Their secondary structure includes four short double-helical elements and three loops (D, anti-codon, and T loops). RNAcentral also lists the same sequence under 10 other names. The record is from RNAcentral. Lineage: Bacteria; Bacillati; Bacillota; Bacilli; Caryophanales; Bacillaceae.
GGGGCAUUAGCUCAGCUGGGAGAGCGCAACACUGGCAGUGUUGAGGUCAGCGGUUCGAGCCCGCUAUGCUCCA